UGCAUAUCAAUAAGCGGAGGAAAAGAAACCAACAGGGAUUGCCUCAGUAACGGCGAGUGAAGCGGCAAGAGCUCAACUUUGGAAUCGCUCCGGCGAGUUGUAGUCUGGAGGCGGCCGGUCCGCCUUGCGCAACCACAUCUAAGUCCUCUGGAACGAGGCGCUUGAAAGGGUGACAGCCCCGUGGAUGUGUGUUGUGCUUGGCCCCUGGUCUGCCGACGAGUCGAGUUGUUUGGGAAUGCAGCUCUAAGUGGGUGGUAAAUUCCAUCUAAAGCUAAAUACCGGCGAGAGACCGAUAGCGAACAAGUACAGUAAUGGAAAGAUGAAAAGCACUUUGAAAAGAGAGUGAAACAGUACGUGAAAUUGUUGAAAGGGAAGGGCUUGCA
RNAcentral lists this ribosomal RNA (383 nucleotides) under Candidozyma pseudohaemuli. Its description in RNAcentral is "eukaryotic LSU rRNA". It matches the Rfam family "Eukaryotic large subunit ribosomal RNA", at positions 37 to 427 of the family's 3401-position model. The record is from RNAcentral. Lineage: Eukaryota; Fungi; Ascomycota; Pichiomycetes; Serinales; Metschnikowiaceae.